GACGAACGCUGGCGGCGUGCCUAAUACAUGCAAGUCGAACGCAGUGGGGACGGGUGAGUAACACGUGGGUAACCUCCCGUCAGAGGGGAUAACACUUGGCCACAGGUGCUAAACCGAUACGGAUGGAUGGACCCGCGGUGCAUUAGCUAGUUGGUGAGGUAACGGCGCACCAAGGCCACGAUGCAUAGCCUGCCUGUGAGGGUGGGCGCCGACACUGUGACUGAGACACGGCCGGGACUCUUUCGGGAGGCAGCAGAAGGGAAUGUUCGGCAAUGGACGAAAGUCUGACCGAGCUACGGCGCUUGGAGGAUGUUACUUUUCGGAGCGUAAACUCCUUUUGUUAGGGAAGCGGUACCUAACGAAUAAGCACCGGCUAACUACGUGCCAGCAGCCGCGGUAAUUC
Molecule: ribosomal RNA, 403 nt
Filed under: uncultured bacterium
Lineage: Bacteria
Description: partial 16S ribosomal RNA
Rfam family: Bacterial small subunit ribosomal RNA
Source: RNAcentral